This 253-nucleotide ribosomal RNA is filed under the name uncultured bacterium. Its description in RNAcentral is "partial 16S ribosomal RNA". It matches the Rfam family "Bacterial small subunit ribosomal RNA", at positions 524 to 776 of the family's 1533-position model. The record is from RNAcentral.
UACGUAGGGUGCGAGCGUUGUCCGGAAUUAUUGGGCGUAAAGAGCUCGUAGGCGGUCUGUCGCGUCGAAUGUGAAAACCCGGGGCUCAACUCCGGGCUUGCAUUCGAUACGGGCAGGCUAGAGUUCGGUAGGGGAGUCUGGGAUUCCUGGUGUAGCGGUGAAAUGCGCAGAUAUCAGGAGGAACACCGGUGGCGAAGGCGGCUUUCUGGACGACAACUGACGCUGAGACGCGAAAGCGUGGGGAGCAAACAGG